GGGAAUGGAGCUUAGUGGUAGAGUGCUUGCCUAGCAUGCAUGAAGUCCUAGGUUCGAUUCCUCAGUACCA
Molecule: transfer RNA, 70 nt
Filed under: Dipodomys ordii (Ord's kangaroo rat)
Lineage: Eukaryota; Metazoa; Chordata; Mammalia; Rodentia; Heteromyidae
Rfam family: tRNA
About the family: Transfer RNA (tRNA) molecules are approximately 80 nucleotides in length. Their secondary structure includes four short double-helical elements and three loops (D, anti-codon, and T loops).
Source: Rfam by way of RNAcentral